Molecule: ribosomal RNA, 2159 nt
Filed under: human gut metagenome
Description: bacterial LSU rRNA
Rfam family: Bacterial large subunit ribosomal RNA
Source: RNAcentral
GCGAGUUUUAACUGAGCGUUCAGUUACUUGACGUAGACCCGAAACCGGGCGACCUACCCAUGAGCAGGAUGAAGCGAAAGUAAAAUUUCGUGGAGGUCCGAACCCACGAGCGUUGAAAAGCUCGGGGAUGACUUGUGGGUAGCGGUGAAAUUCCAAUCGAGCCCGGAGAUAGCUGGUUCUCCCCGAAAUAGCUUUAGGGCUAGCCUCAAGGUGAGAGAUACGGAGGUAGAGCACUGAAUGUCCUAGGGGGUAUUGCACCUACCGAAGACUAUCAAACUCCGAAUGCCGUCAUCUUAUACUUGGGAGUCAGACUGUGGGUGAUAAGAUUCAUAGUCGAAAGGGCAACAGCCCAGAUCGUCAGCUAAGGUCCCUAAAUGUAAGUUAAGUGGUAAAGGAUGUGGGAUUGCACAGACAACCAGGAUGUUGGCUUAGAAGCAGCCACUCAUUCAAAGAGUGCGUAAUAGCUCACUGGUCGAGUGAUCCUGCGCCGAAGAUUUCCGGGGCUAAAACUUACUACCGAAGCUACGGCAUCAGUAAUGAUGGGUAGGGGAGCUUCCCAUACGGGUUGAAGCAUGACCGUAAGGACAUGUGGACAGUAUGGGAGUGAGAAUGUUGGCAUGAGUAGCGAGAUGUGGGUGAGAAUCCCACAGGCCGUAAACCCAAGGUUUCCAGGGGAAGGUUCGUCCGCCCUGGGUUAGUCGGGACCUAAGCUGAGGCCGAAAGGCGUAGGUGAUGGACAACAGGUUGAUAUUCCUGUACUACCGAUAACCGUUUGAGAGAAGGGAUGACACAGUAGGAUAAGCUAAGCACACUGUUGGUUAUGUGUGCCCAAGCAUUGAGGCAGUCAAAGUAGGCAAAUCCGCUUUGAUAAUGCUGGGAUGUGAUGGGGAGCGAAAUUUAGUAGCGAAGUAGCUGAUUUCACACUGUCAAGAAAAGUCUCUAUCGAGGUUAAAGGUACCCGUACCGCAAACCGACACAGGUGGGUGAGGAGAGUAUCCUAAGGCCAGCGAGAGAACUGUUGUUAAGGAACUCGGCAAAAUGACCCCGUAACUUAGGGAUAAGGGGUGCCACCAUCAGGUGGCCGCAGAGAAUAGGCCCAAGCGACUGUUUACCAAAAACAUAGGUUUCUGCUAAGUCGCAAGACGAUGUAUAGGAGCUGACGCCUGCCCGGUGCUGGAAGGUUAAGGGGAUCUGUUAGAGCAAUCGAAGCAGUGAACUUAAGCCCCAGUAAACGGCGGCCGUAACUAUAACGGUCCUAAGGUAGCGAAAUUCCUUGUCGGGUAAGUUCCGACCCGCACGAAAGGCGUAACGAUUUGGGCACUGUCUCAACAACAGACUCGGUGAAAUUGUAAUUCCGGUGAAGAUGCCGGAUACCUGCGACAGGACGGAAAGACCCCAUGGAGCUUUACUGUAGCUUGACAUUGGGUCUUGGUACUACAUGUACAGGAUAGGUGGGAGGCUUUGAAACCAGGACGCCAGUUUUGGCGGAGCCAUCCUUGGGAUACCACCCUUGUAGUACUGGGACUCUAACCAUAGGCCAUGAAUCUGGUCUUGGGACACUGUCAGGUGGGCAGUUUGACUGGGGCGGUCGCCUCCCAAAAGGUAACGGAGGCGCUCAAAGGUUCUCUCAGUACGGUCGGAAAUCGUACGUAGAGUGUAAAGGCAAAAGAGAGCUUGAUUGCAAGACAUACAGGUCGAGCAAGGAUGAAAAUCGGACUUAGUGAUCCGGUGGUUCUGCGUGGAAGGGCCAUCGCUCAACGGAUAAAAGCUACCCUGGGGAUAACAGGCUUAUCUCCCCCAAGAGUCCACAUCGACGGGGAGGUUUGGCACCUCGAUGUCGGCUCAUCACAUCCUGGGGCUGUAGUAGGUCCCAAGGGUUGGGCUGUUCGCCCAUUAAAGUGGUACGCGAGCUGGGUUCAGAACGUCGUGAGACAGUUCGGUCCCUAUCCGUCGCAGGCGUAGGAAAUUUGAGAAGACCUGUCCUUAGUACGAGAGGACCGGGAUGGACGUACCUCUGGUGUACCAGUUGUCCUGCCAAGGGCAUGGCUGGGUAGCUAUGUACGGAAUGGAUAAGCGCUGAAAGCAUCUAAGCGCGAAGCCAACUUCAAGAUAAGAUUUCCCACCGCAAGGGUAAGACCCCAGAAAGACUAUCUGGUUGA